GGCGGACGGGUGAGUAACACGUGAGUAACCUGCCUUACAGAGGGGAAUAACGUUUGGAAACGAACGCUAAUACCGCAUAACAUUCCGCAUCCGCAUGGAAGUGGAAUCAAAGGAGCAAUCCGCUGAAAGAUGGACUCGCGUCCGAUUAGCCAGUUGGCGGGGUAACGGCCCACCAAAGCGACGAUCGGUAGCCGGACUGAGAGGUUGAACGGCCACAUUGGGACUGAGACACGGCCCAG
RNAcentral lists this ribosomal RNA (239 nucleotides) under uncultured Bacillota bacterium. RNAcentral's name for it is "uncultured Firmicutes bacterium partial 16S ribosomal RNA". It matches the Rfam family "Bacterial small subunit ribosomal RNA", at positions 97 to 334 of the family's 1533-position model. Lineage: Bacteria; Bacillati; Bacillota. The record is from RNAcentral.